GGUGACACCAGUUUGGGGUCGGUGACACUGGGAUUUGGGAUGGGUGGCACUGGUUUGGGAUGGGUGACACCAGUUUGGGGUCGGUGACACUGGGAUUUGGGAUGGGUGGCACUGGUUUGGGAUGGGUGACACCAGUUUGGGGUCGGUGACACUGGGAUUUGGGAUGGGUGGCACUGGUUUGGGAUGGGUGACACCAGUUUGGGGUCGGUGACACUGGGAUUUGGGAUGGGUGGCACUGGUUUGGGAUGGGUGACACCAGUUUGGGGUCGGUGACACUGGGAUUUGGGAUGGGUGGCACUGGUUUGGGAUGGGUGACACCAGUUUGGGGUCGGUGACACUGGGAUUUGGGAUGGGUGGCACUGGUUUGGGAUGGGUGACACCAGUUUGGGGUCGGUGACACUGGGAUUUGGGAUGGGUGGCACUGGUUUGGGAUGGGUGACACCAGUUUGGGGUCAGUGACACUGGGAUUUGGGGUGGGUGACUCUAGUUCAGGAUGGGUGACACUGGGAUUUUGGAUCAAUGACACCAGUUUGGGAUGAUUGGGAUGGGUGAUGCCAGUUUGGGAUGGGUGACACCCGAAUGUGGAAUCAGUGACACCAGUUUGGGAUGGGUGCCACCAGUUUGGGAUGGGUGCCACUCCAGCAGCCCAUCCCCACCCUGGGAUCCCCCCAAUUUCUGUCCUUUCCCGGUCAGAUGAGAACGGACCUGGAGCUGGCGCUGGAGUGCGCCGUUAACGUUUACCACCGCUACGCGCUGCAGCGGCCGCUGGACGAUUUCCUGAGCCGCAGCGAGUUCUCCAAACUGCUCAAGGAGGAGGCCGAGCCCUUCCUGAGGAACACGGCGCCGCCCAACACCAGCACCGACACCUACAUCAACCAACUCUUCACCAAAGCCGACGCCAACCGCGACGGGCGCCUCAAGUUCACCGAGUUCCUGAGCACGCUGAGCCUGGUGGCCAUCGAUGCCCACAACCGGUCCCACCAGGGGUCUGGGGGUGACCACGGCCAUGACCAUGACCACGGCCACGGCCACGGCCACCGCCGGGGGGGGGGGGGGGGGGGGGGGGGGGGGGGGGGGGGGGGACCGCCACUGAGGCGGGAACGUCCCCGCGGUGCCAGCCCUCGCCUGCACCCGAAUUUUGUCACCUGCUUCUACUUUCGUGGCACUGAAAUGAAUAAAAUUACUCCGAGCACCAAAAUCCGUCUGCGUUCCGUGUGCUGGGGGGUCAUGGGAGGGGGUGAUUAGACACGGAUUGAUUAUUU
RNAcentral lists this long non-coding RNA (1262 nucleotides) under Ficedula albicollis (Collared flycatcher). RNAcentral describes it as "lncRNA (ENSFALG00000029062.1)". The record is from RNAcentral. Lineage: Eukaryota; Metazoa; Chordata; Aves; Passeriformes; Muscicapidae.